GGCNNNCUACCAUGCAAGUCGAGCGGAGGCAUACGAGGAGCAAUCUGAGUAUGCCUGAGCGGCGGACGGGUGAGUAACGCGUGAGCAACCUGCCUUCCACAGGGGGAUAACGUACCGAAAGGUACACUAAUACCGCAUGAGACCACGGUACCGAUGGUAGUGGGGUCAAAGGAGCAAUCCGGUGGGAGAUGGGCUCGCGUCCGAUUAGGUAGUUGGCGGGGUAAUGGCCCACCAAGCCUGUGAUCGGUAGCCGGCCUGAGAGGGUGAACGGCCACAUUGGAACUGAGAGACGGUCCAAACUCCUACGGGAGGCAGCAGUGGGGAAUAUUAGGCAAUGGGGGGAACCCUGACCCAGCAACGCCGCGUGAGGGAAGAAGGUUUUCGGAUUGUAAACCUCUGUUCUUGGAGAAGAGUGGAAGACGGUAUCCAAGGAGGAAGCCCCGGCUAACUACGUGCCAGCAGCCGCGGUAAUACGUAGGGGGCGAGCGUUGUCCGGAAUGAUUGGGCGUAAAGGGCGCGCAGGCGGCCAUUCAAGUCAGUAGUGGAAGUCCAUUUUUCAAGGGUGGAAGUGCUAUUGAAACUGUAUGGCUUGAGUGCGGGAGAGGUUAUCGGAAUUCCCGGUGUAGCGGUGAAAUGCGUAGAGAUCGGGAGGAACACCAGUGGCGAAGGCGGGUAACUGGACCGCAACUGACGCUGAGGCGCGAAAGUGUGGGGAGCAAACAGGAUUAGAUACCCUGGUAGUCCACACGGUAAACGAUGAAUGCUAGGUGUAGGGGGUAUCGACCCCCUUCUGUGCCGCAGUAAACACAGUAAGCAAUUCCGCCUGGGGGAGUACGGUCGCAAGAUUAAAACUCAAAGGAAUUGAUGGGGGCCCGCACAAGCAGCGGAACAUGUGGUUUUAAUUCAAGCAACGCGAAAACCCUAACCAGUCUUGACAUCCAGGUAAAGCCGCAGAGAUGCGGUGUGCGCCUGGCACACUCUGAAACCGGUGGUCGCAUGGUUGCCGCCACCUCCUGUCCAGUAUUGUUC
RNAcentral lists this ribosomal RNA (1029 nucleotides) under uncultured Bacillota bacterium. RNAcentral describes it as "bacterial SSU rRNA". It matches the Rfam family "Bacterial small subunit ribosomal RNA", at positions 45 to 1077 of the family's 1533-position model. The record is from RNAcentral. Lineage: Bacteria; Bacillati; Bacillota.